GGUUAUUGCUUUCAUCAUUGUUGGUUGUCAGUUAUUGUAUUCAAUAUCACAGCCAAUUUUGAUGAGAUGAGAUAGCU
This 77-nucleotide microRNA precursor is filed under the name Schmidtea mediterranea. RNAcentral's name for it is "microRNA sme-mir-2b precursor". Its record names the gene sme-mir-2b. Lineage: Eukaryota; Metazoa; Platyhelminthes; Tricladida; Dugesiidae. The record is from miRBase by way of RNAcentral.